This 497-nucleotide ribosomal RNA is filed under the name uncultured bacterium. Its description in RNAcentral is "partial 16S ribosomal RNA". It matches the Rfam family "Bacterial small subunit ribosomal RNA", at positions 28 to 507 of the family's 1533-position model. The record is from RNAcentral.
GAUGAACGCUGGCGGCGUGCCUAAUACAUGCAAGUCGAGCGAACGGACGAGAAGCUUGCUUCUCUGAUGUUAGCGGCGGACGGGUGAGUAACGCGUGGAUAACCUACCUAUAAGACUGGGAUAACUUCGGGAAACCGGAGCUAAUACCGGAUAAUAUUUUGAACCGCAUGGUUCAAAAGUGAAAGACGGUCCUGCUGUCACUUAUAGAUGGAUCCGCGCUGCAUUAGCUAGUUGGUAAGGUAACGGCUUACCAAGGCAACGAUGCAUAGCCGACCUGAGAGGGUGAUCGGCCACACUGGAACUGAGACACGGUCCAGACUCCUACGGGAGGAAGCAGUAGGGAAUCUUCCGCAAUGGGCGAAAGCCUGACGGAGCAACGCCGCGUGAGUGAUGAAGGUCUUCGGAUCGUAAAACUCUGUUAUUAGGGAAGAACAUAUGUGUAAGUAACUGUGCACAUCUUGACGGUACCUAAUCAGAAAGCCACGGCUAACUACGUG